RNAcentral lists this small nuclear RNA (107 nucleotides) under Cebus imitator (Panamanian white-faced capuchin). Lineage: Eukaryota; Metazoa; Chordata; Mammalia; Primates; Cebidae. The record is from RNAcentral.
GUGCUCGCUUCAGCAGCACAUAUACUAAAAUUGGAAUGAUACAGAGGAGAUUAGCGUGGCCCCUGCACAAGGAUGACAAGCAAAUUAGUGAAGCAUUCCAUAUUUUU